RNAcentral lists this ribosomal RNA (104 nucleotides) under uncultured bacterium. RNAcentral's name for it is "partial 16S ribosomal RNA". It matches the Rfam family "Bacterial small subunit ribosomal RNA", at positions 1379 to 1482 of the family's 1533-position model. The record is from RNAcentral.
CCUUGUACACACCGCCCGACACACCACGAAAGUUGGUAACACCCGAAGCCAGUGGCCUAACCGCAAGGAGGGAGCUGUCGAAGGUGGGAUCAGCGAUUGGGGUG